This 969-nucleotide long non-coding RNA is filed under the name Carassius auratus (goldfish). RNAcentral describes it as "lncRNA (ENSCARG00000037916.1)". Lineage: Eukaryota; Metazoa; Chordata; Actinopteri; Cypriniformes; Cyprinidae. The record is from RNAcentral.
AAUAUACCUUCAAUAUUUCUGGUAAAUUCUAAUAGAAAUAUUUGAUAAAUAUUUACUUGUACUGAUCUGUUUUAGAAACUAAAAUUAUUAAGUAUUUCCAACCAAUUUUCCUAAAUAAAGUUCCAGCUUAAUAAAUGACAGUUUAAAUAAAUUGAGUAAAUUUCGCGGCUAAAGUGAUCACGUGUGAAGCUCCGCAGGAAAAAAAAAAAAUCUGCUUUCCUCAGCAGCGACGUCGACUGGCCAUACACCUCACAGCUCCUGGUAAGUAAGGUUAGUCAGCUAAUCCUACUUACGUUUGUAACACUUUAUUAAAAAGUUAAUAAUUAUUAAGCAUUUUCUAACAAUUGUCUUUGUAUUUUACGUCAUAUUCAACAAGUUUCGUAGCUUAAUCGAAGUCACCUGAAGGACGGCUUUCCUCAGCAACGGCAAGACCCGCACUCCUCUCAUUUCGUGAAGUUUAACAAGUUUCGCGGCUCAAACAAGAAGCACCUGUCACUGAAGGACUGCUUUUCUCAGCAACGACGUGAACAGCAUUACUCGAAUUUCCUGGUUCAGCUGAUCUACCCGUCUUCGUACACGCAGAGUUGGCAGAGGAGGUCAUAAAAAUCUACAUCCUUCGGGACAAUAAUGGGGCAGUCAGCGGCGUAAUCUUGGGAAUCUCAGCAGAGCCUGCUGCCAUCUUUCAGGAGUCACAUUGGAUUUGAGAUCUCCCAAGACCCACAAAUACAGGUCCUUCUCCAAAAAUUAGCAUAUUGUGAUAAAGUUCAUUAUUUUCCAUAAUGUACUGAUAAAAAUUAAACUUUCAUAUAUUUUAGAUUCAUUGCACACCAACUGAAAUAUUUCAGGUCUUUUAUUGUUUAAAUACUGAUGCUUUUGGCAUACAGCUCAUGAAAACCAUAAAUUCCUAUCUCAAAAAAAUAGCUUAUUUCAUCUGACCAAUAAAAGUGUUUUUAAUACAAAAAAGUCAAC